Molecule: non-coding RNA, 2375 nt
Organism: Pelodiscus sinensis (Chinese soft-shelled turtle)
Lineage: Eukaryota; Metazoa; Chordata; Testudines; Trionychidae
Source: RefSeq, a predicted model, not a curated record
CUUGUGGAGAUCGGGAGAGGUCCCGGAUGAUUGGAAAAAGGCAAAUGUAGUGCCCAUCUUUGAAAAAGGAAGACGGACACUCCAAGAAACUACAGACUGGUCAGCUUUACCUCAGUCCCCGGAAAAAUCAUGGAGAGGAUCCCCAAGGAAUCCAUUUUGAAGCACUUAGAAGAGGGGAAAGUGAUCAGGACUAGUCAACAUGGAUCCACCAAAGGAAAGUUAUGCCUGACCAAUCUGAUCAGCUUCUAUGAUGAGAACAAUUCCAACUAUGCAGGCUGUUUUCAUAAGAAAUGAGUUGCUGACUUACAUCCAGUUCCAAGUAGAUAUAUCAGAAGAAACACCAUCGGAAAUCUUGUUGGCUGUCUCAGCAGAGACUAAGGACUGAAUGGGCUGGUAGAAUGACUGAACCCCUCAUGUGCUAAAGGUAGUUAUUUCAUCUCAAUACUGAUGCCCCUUGCAUGUGGUAUAUUGCAGUUCUAUAACUAAAUGGAGGAUAUUAAUUGGCAGUACUGUAAUCCAAAAACUUGCAAAAGCACUAAUUUAAAAGAUGGUAGGGUUUUUAGGGUUGGAACUUUGGGAUCACACUAGAUACUAAGUGAAAUUCUUUGCCUCGUGUUAUAUAGGAGUCCAGAUUGAAUGAUCAUAGUGCUCUCUUAUGACCUUAAAACCUGUGACAUAAGAAGAUGAAAAUCUGGUUCCUUCUUUACUUAUCUGCCUGUAAAGCACCAUGCACAUUUGUACUACCAUAUAAGUAAUAACAAGUAUGGAUUAUACAUAAAAUAUAUAUUCCUAUGGAACUGUAUGUGGAAUACAUCUCACCCUGUCUUCUGUUAGCUCCACCAGUACUUGAAGAAAAUAUUGUCUAUCAGGUUGGGAAGGAUAAGCAGUGAUUUGUCUUCUUUUUCUCCCCAUUGUGACCAAGUGGACUGGGUUUGCUGUAAUGGUAUGAGCUUUGUGGUCUUUGUUUCAAACAGAAGAUUUUGUGCACUCUUGUGUUGGCUGCCGUACCAUCUGCCUCAAAAAAUAAGUGAAUACAAAUUAAAGAAAGAAUGCAGCUCCAACGCCUACACCCAGAAAGCUUUCAAAACAGCACGCUGCUACACCUGUGGGGAUAGAACAAGUGUAUCAGUGUCCCCGGCUCUGCCUCGGCUUGCCUGCCUUUGUUAGCUGGAAUGUGCCGAUGAGACAAUCAGGUGCAGUAGGCGCGUGGCAGCCUGCUUAAAGAGUGAUUCUUUGUAGACAGGGAGGUGGCUGUGAGUCAUGCAUCCACAUAAUCUGAUGAUAACAAUUUUAAAUGUGGUGAUUUAUGUAUAAUGGAAAGUAUUGUGCUAUUUGGUGUGAUUUGUCUGCCAUCAGACUACCCACUUGUUAAAAGGUCCUGUCUUCUAUACAAAUUAUGAAUUAUUCUUGCAUCAGAUACAUAAAGUAUAUUUUGGAGCGUGUGUGUGUGUGUGUGUGUGUGUGUGUCUAUGUGCGUGAGUGAGAGAUUAUUAUUUACACUGUGGUCACGGAUCACAGCCCCAUUGUGCUAGGCACUGUACAAAUAUGGAGCUAAAGACAAUCUCCGGCUCAAAGAGCUUAUACUCCAAAUGAGGACAUUAUCUACAAGUGCUAAGCCUGUGCAAAGUUGACUGCUGCCUUGUAUUAACAGGAACAUCAAGCAGAAUUUAUCUCUAACUCCUGGCUGGCAUAUCAUUAAGAACAAUCAAAACACACAGCCAGGCAUUCUUCACCAUGAUAAAUAUACCCAUCAGUCUACAACUUCAAGGGCUGCCUGCUGCUGCAGAUAUCGCCAGCAGAACAUACCUCCAAAUGAACAAGGGACACCUUGCCAUUCCAUCAGUUUCAAUAGAAUGUCAAUGGAACAGGAGAGAACAUGGAUGUGAAGGGAAGGGUCAGCAGUAAAAGCAUUACAAUGAGGGUGUGUUUAAUUGUCUUAGCUGGGAGCCAAUAAGAAGAAAGAAACCAAGUUUUAUAAUUGCUACAAGUUGUGCUCAUUAUCAGAAGUAUAUUUUCUUGGAAAUACAGAUGCACUCUGUUGUAGUGAGACUCACUUGGGGAAUGUCUUGUAGCUUCAGCUUUUCACUUCAGGGCUUACUUUAGCGGAUGUUGAUAAUAUGAGAGGGCUCACAGCAAAGAGCUGUAGCUGGCAACAGAAAACAAAAGAAACAAACAUGAACACUGAAGAAAAGCUGCAACAAAGGUUGAUGCUACAAUGGGGCACCUCGCUGACAGAAUAAAUCAUGAUCAAGGCCCCAUUGUGCAAGGUGCUGUUGAAACAUAUAUGAAGUCUCAGUCCCUGCCGAAAGAGCUUAUACAGAUUGAACCUGCUAGUCCGGCACCCUCAGGAUCUGACCGGUUCUGAACCAGAGAAU